This 72-nucleotide transfer RNA is filed under the name Deltaproteobacteria bacterium. RNAcentral's name for it is "tRNA-Glu". It matches the Rfam family "tRNA". Rfam says of the family: Transfer RNA (tRNA) molecules are approximately 80 nucleotides in length. Their secondary structure includes four short double-helical elements and three loops (D, anti-codon, and T loops). Further hydrogen bonds mediate the characteristic L-shaped molecular structure. tRNAs have two regions of fundamental functional importance: the anti-codon, which is responsible for specific mRNA codon recognition, and the 3' end, to which the tRNAs corresponding amino acid is attached (by aminoacyl-tRNA synthetases). tRNAs cope with the degeneracy of the genetic code in two manners: having more than one tRNA (with a specific anti-codon) for a particular amino acid; and 'wobble' base-pairing, i.e. permitting non-standard base-pairing at the 3rd anti-codon position. Lineage: Bacteria; Pseudomonadati; Myxococcota; Myxococcia. The record is from RNAcentral.
GUCCCCAUCGUCUAGUGGUUAGGACACCGGGCUUUCAAUCCGGAAACACGGGUUCAAUUCCCGUUGGGGACG